This is a small nuclear RNA of Protopterus annectens (West African lungfish), 165 nucleotides long. RefSeq annotates it as U1 spliceosomal RNA. The record is from RefSeq and is a predicted model, not a curated record. The transcript has a single exon. NCBI's taxonomy places the organism in Eukaryota, Metazoa, Chordata, Ceratodontiformes, Protopteridae.
UAACUUACCUGGCAGGGGGAAUGCCACCAUAAAGAAGGUGGUUUCCCCAGGAGAGGCUCUUUGCACUGCCCUUCAUUUGGGCUGACCCCUGUGAUUUCCCCAGAUGUGGGAAACUCAGCUGCAUAAUUUAUGGUAGUAAGUAUGGUAUUCUUGUACAGAUUUCUA